Molecule: ribosomal RNA, 494 nt
Filed under: uncultured bacterium
Lineage: Bacteria
Description: partial 16S ribosomal RNA
Rfam family: Bacterial small subunit ribosomal RNA
Source: RNAcentral
GACGAACGCUGGCGGCGUGCCUAAUACAUGCAAGUAGAACGCUGAAGGAGGAGCUUGCUUCUCUGGAUGAGUUGCGAACGGGUGAGUAACGCGUAGGUAACCUGCCUGGUAGCGGGGGAUAACUAUUGGAAACGAUAGCUAAUACCGCAUAAGAUUGACUAUUGCAUGAUAGUCAGUUAAAAGGUGCAAUUGCAUCACUACCAGAUGGACCUGCGUGGUAUUAGUUAGUUGGUGGGGUAACGGCUCACAAAGGCGACGAUACGUAGCCGACCUGGGAGGGGGACCGCCAAACUGGGACUGAAGACACGCCCAGGAUUCCUAGGGGGGGCACAGGAAGGGAUCUUUGGGAAAUGACCGAAGUCUUGCCGGAGAAAGGCGGGUGGGUGGAAAAGGUUUUUCGGACCGAAAGCUCUGUUGUAAGAGAAGAACGAGUGUGAGAGUGGAAAGUUCACACUGUGACGGUAUCUUACCAGAAAGGGACGGCUAACUACGUG